RNAcentral lists this ribosomal RNA (497 nucleotides) under uncultured bacterium. RNAcentral's name for it is "partial 16S ribosomal RNA". It matches the Rfam family "Bacterial small subunit ribosomal RNA", at positions 28 to 507 of the family's 1533-position model. The record is from RNAcentral.
GAUGAACGCUGGCGGCGUGCCUAAUACAUGCAAGUCGAGCGAACAGACGAGGAGCUUGCUCCUCUGACGUUAGCGGCGGACGGGUGAGUAACACGUGGAUAACCUACCUAUAAGACUGGGAUAACUUCGGGAAACCGGAGCUAAUACCGGAUAAUAUAUUGAACCGCAUGGUUCAAUAGUGAAAUACGGUUUUGCUUUCACUUAUAGAUGGAUCCGCGCCGCAUUAGCUAGUUGGUAAGGUAACGGCUUACCAAGGCAACGAUGCGUAGCCGACCUGAGAGGGUGAUCGGCCACACUGGAACUGAGACACGGUCCAGACUACUACGGGAGGCAGCAGUAGGGAAUCUUCCGCAAUGGGCGAAAGCCUGACGGAGCAACGCCGCGUGAGUGAUGAAGGUCUUCGGAUCGUAAAACUCUGUUAUUAGGGAAGAACAAAUGUGUAAGUAACUAUGCACGUCUUGACGGUACCUAAUCAGAAAGCCACGGCUAACUACGUG